Molecule: non-coding RNA, 21 nt
Filed under: Gallus gallus (chicken)
Lineage: Eukaryota; Metazoa; Chordata; Aves; Galliformes; Phasianidae
Also listed under: 2 other names
Source: RNAcentral
CAACUCUUAGCGGUGGAUCAC